UACAGAGGUCUCAAGCGUUGUUCGGAUUCAUUGGGCGUAAAGGGUGCGUAGGCGGCGCGGUAAGUCGGGUGUGAAAUCUCGGAGCUUAACUCCGAAACUGCAUUCGAUACUGCCGUGCUUGAGGACUGGAGAGGAGACUGGAAUUUACGGUGUAGCGGUGAAAUGCGUAGAUAUCGUAAGGAAGACCAGUGGCGAAGGUGGGUCUCUGGACAGUUCCUGACGCCGAGGCACGAAGGUCAGGGGAGCAAACGGG
RNAcentral lists this ribosomal RNA (253 nucleotides) under uncultured bacterium. RNAcentral's name for it is "partial 16S ribosomal RNA". It matches the Rfam family "Bacterial small subunit ribosomal RNA", at positions 524 to 776 of the family's 1533-position model. The record is from RNAcentral.